Molecule: non-coding RNA, 263 nt
Filed under: Streptomyces afghaniensis 772
Lineage: Bacteria; Bacillati; Actinomycetota; Actinomycetes; Kitasatosporales; Streptomycetaceae
Description: Bacterial small subunit ribosomal RNA
Rfam family: Bacterial small subunit ribosomal RNA
Source: Rfam by way of RNAcentral
AGGUGGAGCGAAUCUCAAAAAGCCGGUCUCAGUUCGGAUUGGGGUCUGCAACUCGACCCCAUGAAGUCGGAGUCGCUAGUAAUCGCAGAUCAGCAUUGCUGCGGUGAAUACGUUCCCGGGCCUUGUACACACCGCCCGUCACGUCACGAAAGUCGGUAACACCCGAAGCCGGUGGCCCAACCCCUUGUCGGGGAGGGAGCUGUCGAAGGUGGGACUGGCGAUUGGGACGAAGUCGUAACAAGGUAGCCGUACCGGAAGGUGCG